This 61-nucleotide transfer RNA is filed under the name Escherichia coli. Its description in RNAcentral is "tRNA-Met". It matches the Rfam family "tRNA", at positions 9 to 63 of the family's 71-position model. Rfam says of the family: Transfer RNA (tRNA) molecules are approximately 80 nucleotides in length. The record is from RNAcentral. Lineage: Bacteria; Pseudomonadati; Pseudomonadota; Gammaproteobacteria; Enterobacterales; Enterobacteriaceae.
AGCUUAGUGGUUAGAGCAGGCGACUCAUAAUCGCACGGUCAUCGGUUCAAAUCCGUUACCA